This 431-nucleotide ribosomal RNA is filed under the name uncultured bacterium. RNAcentral's name for it is "partial 16S ribosomal RNA". It matches the Rfam family "Bacterial small subunit ribosomal RNA", at positions 29 to 507 of the family's 1533-position model. The record is from RNAcentral.
AACGAACGCUGGCGGCAGGCCUAACACAUGCAAGUCGAGCUCGCCUUCGGGUGAGCGGCGGACGGGUGAGUAACGCGUGGGAAUAUGCCCUUCUCUACGGAAUAGUCCUGGGAAACUGGGGGUAAUACCGUAUACGCCCUUUGGGGGAAAGAUUUAUCGGGGAAGGAUUAGCCCGCGUUGGAUUAGGUAGUUGGUGGGGUAAUGGCCUACCAAGCCGACGAUCCAUAGCUGGUUUGAGAGGAUGAUCAGCCACACUGGGACUGAGACACGGCCCAGACUCCUACGGGAGGCAGCAGUGGGGAAUCUUAGACAAUGGGGGCAACCCUGAUCUAGCCAUGCCGCGUGAGUGAUGAAGGCCUUAGGGUUGUAAAGCUCUUUCAGCUGGGAAGAUAAUGACGGUACCAGCAGAAGAAGCCCCGGCUAACUCCGUG